RNAcentral lists this ribosomal RNA (717 nucleotides) under uncultured Bacilli bacterium. RNAcentral describes it as "bacterial SSU rRNA". It matches the Rfam family "Bacterial small subunit ribosomal RNA", at positions 55 to 747 of the family's 1533-position model. Lineage: Bacteria; Bacillati; Bacillota; Bacilli. The record is from RNAcentral.
AUGCAAGUAGGACGCACAGUUUAUACCGUAGCUUGCUACACCAUAGACUGUGAGUUGCGAACGGGUGAGUAACGCGUAGGUAACCUGCCUAUUAGAGGGGGAUAACUAUUGGAAACGAUAGCUAAUACCGCAUAACAGUAUGUAACACAUGUUAGAUGCUUGAAAGAUGCAAUUGCAUCGCUAGUAGAUGGACCUGCGUUGUAUUAGCUAGUAGGUAGGGUAAUGGCCUACCUAGGCGACGAUACAUAGCCGACCUGAGAGGGUGAUCGGCCACACUGGGACUGAGACACGGCCCAGACUCCUACGGGAGGCAGCAGUAGGGAAUCUUCGGCAAUGGGGGGAACCCUGACCGAGCAACGCCGCGUGAGUGAAGAAGGUUUUCGGAUCGUAAAGCUCUGUUGUUAAGGAAGAACGAGUGUGAGAAUGGAAAGUUCAUACUGUGACGGUACUUAACCAGAAAGGGACGGCUAACUACGUGCCAGCAGCCGCGGUAAUACGUAGGUCCCGAGCGUUGUCCGGAUUUAUUGGGCGUAAAGCGAGCGCAGGCGGUUAGAAAAGUCUGAAGUGAAAGGCAGUGGCUCAACCAUUGUAGGCUUUGGAAACUGUUUAACUUGAGUGCAGAAGGGGAGAGUGGAAUUCCAUGUGUAGCGGUGAAAUGCGUAGAUAUAUGGAGGAACACCGGUGGCGAAAGCGGCUCUCUGGUCUGUAACUGACGCU